RNAcentral lists this transfer RNA (67 nucleotides) under Rawlinsonia jervisiensis (Jervis Bay treefrog). Its description in RNAcentral is "Litoria jervisiensis (Jervis Bay treefrog) tRNA-His". Lineage: Eukaryota; Metazoa; Chordata; Amphibia; Anura; Pelodryadidae. The record is from RNAcentral.
UAGAUAUAGUUUAUAAAAAUCCUAGUCUGUGAAUCUAGAGAUGAGAGCUAAUUACUUUCUAUUUACC